RNAcentral lists this transfer RNA (71 nucleotides) under Loxodonta africana (African savanna elephant). It matches the Rfam family "tRNA". Rfam says of the family: Transfer RNA (tRNA) molecules are approximately 80 nucleotides in length. Their secondary structure includes four short double-helical elements and three loops (D, anti-codon, and T loops). Lineage: Eukaryota; Metazoa; Chordata; Mammalia; Proboscidea; Elephantidae. The record is from Rfam by way of RNAcentral.
GUAGUGGUGGUUCAGUGGUAGAAUUUUUGCCUCCCAUGUGGAAGACCUAGGUUCAAUUCCUGGCCAGCACA